This 32-nucleotide non-coding RNA is filed under the name Trypanosoma brucei brucei. Lineage: Eukaryota; Euglenozoa; Kinetoplastea; Trypanosomatida; Trypanosomatidae. The record is from RNAcentral.
AAAAUAAUGAAGGUUUAUGGUGAGAUAUGCUG